GAUGAACGCUAGCUACAGGCUUAACACAUGCAAGUCGAGGGGAAACGGCAUUUAGUGCUUGCACUGAAUGGACGUCGACCGGCGCACGGGUGAGUAACGCGUAUCCAACCUACCCAUUACUGUGGGAUAACCUGCCGAAAGGCAGACUAAUACCGCAUAGUCUUCGAUGACGGCAUCAGAUUUGAAGUAAAGAUUUAUCGGUAAUGGAUGGGGAUGCGUCUGAUUAGCUUGUUGGCGGGGUAACGGCCCACCAAGGCAACGAUCAGUAGGGGUUCUGAGAGGAAGGUCCCCCACAUUGGAACUGAGACACGGUCCAAACUCCUACGGGAGGCGGCAGUGAGGAAUAUUGGUCAAUGGGCGAGAGCCUGAACCAGCCAAGUAGCGUGCAGGAUGACGGCCCUAUGGGUUGUAAACUGCUUUUGUAUGGGGAUAAAGUCAAUCACGUGUGAUUGUUUGCAGGUACCA
This 465-nucleotide ribosomal RNA is filed under the name Prevotella sp. oral taxon 313. Its description in RNAcentral is "bacterial SSU rRNA". It matches the Rfam family "Bacterial small subunit ribosomal RNA", at positions 28 to 480 of the family's 1533-position model. Lineage: Bacteria; Pseudomonadati; Bacteroidota; Bacteroidia; Bacteroidales; Prevotellaceae. The record is from RNAcentral.